RNAcentral lists this ribosomal RNA (429 nucleotides) under Acidobacteriota bacterium. RNAcentral describes it as "Acidobacteria bacterium partial 16S ribosomal RNA". It matches the Rfam family "Bacterial small subunit ribosomal RNA", at positions 355 to 776 of the family's 1533-position model. The record is from RNAcentral. Lineage: Bacteria; Pseudomonadati; Acidobacteriota.
UGGGGAAUUUUGGACAAUGGGGGAAACCCUGAUCCAGCCAUCCCGCGUGUGCGAUGAAGGCCUUCGGGUUGUAAAGCACUUUUGGCAGGAGAGAAACGUCAUGGGUUAAUACCCCGUGAAACUGACGGUACCUGCAGAAUAAGCACCGGCUAACUACGUGCCAGCAGCCGCGGUAAUACGUAGGGUGCAAGCGUUAAUCGGAAUUACUGGGCGUAAAGCGUGCGCAGGCGGUUCGGAAAGAAAGAUGUGAAAUCCCAGAGCUCAACUUUGGAACUGCAUUUUUAACUACCGGGCUAGAGUGUGUCAGAGGGAGGUGGAAUUCCGCGUGUAGCAGUGAAAUGCGUAGAUAUGCGGAGGAACACCGAUGGCGAAGGCAGCCUCCUGGGAUAACACUGACGCUCAUGCACUAAAGCGUGGGGAGCAAACAGG